RNAcentral lists this long non-coding RNA (366 nucleotides) under Homo sapiens (human). RNAcentral describes it as "non-protein coding lnc-MEF2D-1:1". Lineage: Eukaryota; Metazoa; Chordata; Mammalia; Primates; Hominidae. The record is from RNAcentral.
CUCAGCCAGAGGAGGGUCUCACCAUUUCUUCCUCCUCCUCAAGGAAAGAGAGGGCUCUCACUGCCUUCUGAUCAUAGCUAUUCCCCUGGCAGGAAGUCCCUCCUGUUGCCUGUCAGGCCUUCUACUUCUGAGAUGGUGACAGAUAUUGAAAAUCAGAUCGAUAAGCAGCUGCAAGACAGGCUGAACAAGGACAAGGUGGCUACUGCUCCUCUGGCCAAGGAGCCGGAACCAGGUGAUAGGAGAUUCAGCAGAUUUUCCUAUGGGAGAUGUCCCGGAACCAAUACCCCAUCAGGUUCUUUGAGAUCUAAGCCAGAUGCCAUCAUUUCCUUACGCUCUUGGGAGAAAGCAGCAGGACUUGGAAGUAAC